Notechis scutatus (mainland tiger snake) is the source of this 102-nucleotide non-coding RNA. The record is from RefSeq and is a predicted model, not a curated record. NCBI's taxonomy places the organism in Eukaryota, Metazoa, Chordata, Lepidosauria, Squamata, Elapidae.
UUUUUUGCCAGAAACCAUUGUUUAUUUCUGGUUUCCUGCAAAAAAUGGCCAUUGUGGACAAUGAGUUCACUUAACGACUGCCAGAAAAAAAAUCUGUGUAAU